GUGCUUGCUUCAGCAGCACACAUACUAAAAUUGGAAUGAUACAGAGAAGAUUAGCAUGGCCCCUGUGGAAGGAUGACAUGCAAACUCGUGAAGCAUUACAUUAAAAA
This 107-nucleotide small nuclear RNA is filed under the name Castor canadensis (American beaver). Lineage: Eukaryota; Metazoa; Chordata; Mammalia; Rodentia; Castoridae. The record is from RNAcentral.